UCCCUGGCAGUCCAGUGGUUAAGACUCCCUGCUUCUAAUGCAGGAGAUGUAGGUUUGAUCCCUGGUCAGGGAA
This 73-nucleotide transfer RNA is filed under the name Capra hircus (goat). It matches the Rfam family "tRNA". From Rfam's summary of the family: Transfer RNA (tRNA) molecules are approximately 80 nucleotides in length. Their secondary structure includes four short double-helical elements and three loops (D, anti-codon, and T loops). Lineage: Eukaryota; Metazoa; Chordata; Mammalia; Artiodactyla; Bovidae. The record is from Rfam by way of RNAcentral. RNAcentral also lists the same sequence under 1 other name.